UACGUAGGGUGCAAGCGUUAAUCGGAAUUACUGGGCGUAAAGCGUGCGCAGGCGGUGAUGUAAGACAGGUGUGAAAUCCCCGGGCUUAACCUGGGAACUGCAUUUGUGACUGCAUCGCUGGAGUGCGGCAGAGGGGGAUGGAAUUCCGCGUGUAGCAGUGAAAUGCGUAGAUAUGCGGAGGAACACCGAUGGCGAAGGCAAGUCUCUGGACAUUUCCUGACGCUGAGGCACGAAAGCCAGGGGAGCAAACGGG
RNAcentral lists this ribosomal RNA (253 nucleotides) under uncultured bacterium. RNAcentral's name for it is "partial 16S ribosomal RNA". It matches the Rfam family "Bacterial small subunit ribosomal RNA", at positions 524 to 776 of the family's 1533-position model. The record is from RNAcentral.